Molecule: ribosomal RNA, 253 nt
Filed under: uncultured bacterium
Lineage: Bacteria
Description: partial 16S ribosomal RNA
Rfam family: Bacterial small subunit ribosomal RNA
Source: RNAcentral
UACGUAGGGGGCGAGCGUUGUCCGGAAUCAUUGGGCGUAAAGCGCGUGUAGGCGGCUUAUCAAGUCAGGCGUGAAAUUCCCGGGCUCAACCUGGGGGCUGCGCUUGAUACUGAUGAGCUUGAAUGCGGGAGAGGAUAGUGGAAUUCCCAGUGUAGAGGUGAAAUUCGUAGAUAUUGGGAGGAACACCGGUGGCGAAGGCGGCUACCUGGACCGGUACUGACGCUGAGGCGCGAAAGCUAGGGUAGCAAACAGU